CACAACAAAAAUACAGUUUUCUUAACAGUAAAAUAUCUGUUUCCAUUCUUUCUGUCCUGUACAUUCAGGUCACAAAAUUGUCGAUAGAAGUUGGAGUAGCAAUGUGUGCUUAUUAGCAACACAAGAUGGUACCAGAGUGUCACCCACCACCAACCAAUGUGACACGGAAGUCAGCAGAGAUCCAUCGACAUUCUACUUCUCUUUUUGUUAACACCGAACCUGUCAGUAUUGCCUAUGUAGUCUAUGUCUUCAAGACAACACUAAAGACAGAGAACUCAAACUGGAUGUUUGAGUAAUACCUUAAUAGUGGCAUUCCAACGUUGUUGUGACUUUUUAAGUAGGCCUACUUUUUACAAGUGUUGACAGUGUAAUGUCCAGAAAAAACAUUCCGAUGUUGUAGAAACAUUUCUAGGCUACUUGGUGAGAUCUCUCUGAGCACACCACAAGGUAAUCCUUGCGGGCACCAGUUUAUUUUCAAUUGAAGAGGAGAUUGAGAAUGGACUCCUUUUACCUCCUCCUCCUUCUGCUCUUCCUAGAAGUCUCAGGGAACAUGCAGCCAAAGAUCCUCACUCCACGAAAUGGUGAAGUCAUAGAAGUGACCCUUGGUAUGUUU
Osmerus eperlanus (European smelt) is the source of this 613-nucleotide long non-coding RNA. RefSeq lists it as uncharacterized. NCBI's taxonomy places the organism in Eukaryota, Metazoa, Chordata, Actinopteri, Osmeriformes, Osmeridae. The record is from RefSeq and is a predicted model, not a curated record. The transcript has 3 exons.